UUCAAUAUGUAUUUUGCGUUCAAAAAAAUGAAAGAAAUGUGCAUUUGUUUGUUUGUUGGCAGAGGAUACAUUUUUAGUUAGUUAUUCCAGCCACUAGGUGGCGGUGUCACACGCCAAGAGUUGCGCGGUGCCUCUUGGUCGCUCUCUUUUUCCUUUCGGGCCGAUCAGGGAAACAGCACGGUGGAGAAUCCUGAGUACAUUGUGUGAAAUAAAAGGAUGAGAUUGACUUUGGAUGGAUGUCGAUGGAUUUUGUGUGUAGCUGCCGACGCCAGUGUUUCCAUGUGUUAGCGAGACAUCAGAGUGACAAGUGUGUGACGUUGUGCGCUCCCUGGUGAAGCCCGUUUUUCAGAGUCUGUAUUCUGGGAAAUGUAAGUGCUUUCUAAGUCAAACUGUACAUUUAAGAAUCAACUGGAGUUUAUUUUGAAGGUAUAUUAAUAUUGUUUUAUUUUUGUUUUCUGUCAGUGUCCUUAGCCACUGCCGUAUGUUUCGGAUAAUUUUGUGUUAAUUAUUUUAUUUAUUUUUUGGU
Perca fluviatilis (European perch) is the source of this 526-nucleotide long non-coding RNA. RefSeq lists it as uncharacterized. The transcript has 3 exons. The record is from RefSeq and is a predicted model, not a curated record. Lineage: Eukaryota; Metazoa; Chordata; Actinopteri; Perciformes; Percidae.